ACGCUCGACACCACGGGAGCAGCAGUGGGGAAUAUUGCACAAUGGGGGAAACCCUGAUGCAGCGACGCCGCGUGGAGGAAGAAGGUCUUCGGAUUGUAAACUCCUGUUGUUGGGGAAAAAGAGGAUGGUACCCAACAAGGAAGUGACGGCUAACUACGUCGCAGCNCGCGAGUAUNGNGGCGGNGNGAGAG
This 191-nucleotide ribosomal RNA is filed under the name uncultured bacterium. RNAcentral's name for it is "partial 16S ribosomal RNA". It matches the Rfam family "Bacterial small subunit ribosomal RNA", at positions 326 to 543 of the family's 1533-position model. The record is from RNAcentral.